Molecule: long non-coding RNA, 699 nt
Organism: Vitis vinifera (wine grape)
Lineage: Eukaryota; Viridiplantae; Streptophyta; Magnoliopsida; Vitales; Vitaceae
Exons: 3
Source: RefSeq, a predicted model, not a curated record
GGCUGGGGAGUUUGCUUCACCUAUGCUACAUGGUUUGCAUUAGCAGGGUUAGCUGUUGUUGGGAAAACAUACUCAAACAGCAAAACCGUUCGUAAAGGUGUCGAUUUUUUGCUUUCAAAGCAGAAGGUAAAUGGUGAUUGGGGAGAGAGCUAUCUUUCAUGCCCAAACAUGGUAAUUCUCAUUCUAACUCAGUGCCAUCGCUUGGAAAAUAUGAGCUGGAUAUUUUACUCGUCAGUUUAAUCAUCAUUGUACAGGUGUAUAUACACCUAGAGAGGGGGAUCACAUAAAUUUGGUACAAACCGCAUGGUGUUUGAUGGGUCUAAUUGAAGCCGGAUAGGUUGAGAGAGAUCCAACCCCUCUACACAAUGCAGCUAAGCUACUGAUUAAUUCACAGUUAGACAAUGGGGAUUUCCCUCAAGAGGAAAUCAUUGGAGUCUUCAUGAAUAACUGUAUGCUACACUAUGCGAGCUAUAGAAACAUCUUCCUGACAUGGGCUCUUGGAAUGUACUGUAAACGUGUUCUGAAGCCUUCCCAGAAGCUCUAAGCACUAAGCUCAAGUAGAAAGGUUUCCUCUAUAUGCUUUCUUCUUCUUUGCAAAAUAAGGUGUUUCGUCAUAUGUGAAUCUACUCAUCUUAAAUGUAUAAGUCAAUACAAGCUCAAUAGUAACAUAAAAAUGCAAGUCUUCAACAUCUUCUGUCA